CAGUGCUUAUCAGCAUCUCCACCAAGGAGGAACAGUGGAAAUGAACCCCAUGUGAGGCAGGCACUGGUGCUCCUGGUUCUUCAGAUUCAGACUGGUACUUACACCGCUGGCUCCCCUUUUUGGACUGGAACUAUACCACCAGCUUUUCUGGGACUCCAGCUUGCAGACAUCAGAUCAUAGGAUUUCUCAGCCUCCAUAAUCAUGUGGCUGGCUGCCUCGAGCCCUGGAAAGAUGGCUGGAGAAGAAGUGGGGAGGGGUGUGUGCCAGCUGUGCCUCACACUUCGAUCAGGAAAGCACAAGCUCUGUCCCAAACCUCAUCAGACUUCGCUCGGGUCUCAUUAGCUACACAGUGGAACAACUGUGUUACACUGGCCACACUUGGCUACAGGGGAGGCUUGGAAGCUGCUGGGCACGGUGUUCUGGUAGCAAGGGGUGAAGGGCUCUGGAGGGGGAAGCGAUUGAGUCUGGCAUAGCUGGAGAAGGUCUGAGAGAACAGGGGCUGGAAUGUGAGCGCUGGGUAAGAUUUAGGAGGGAGACUGGAGAAAAGAAGGGACCUUGGGAGUAACUUAUGGAAACAGUGGCCCGUCUGGGAGGCUGUGAGAACUCUGCUCCAGGAAAUUUUUGUUCUGGGAAGUUGGAAAAAAGUCGGCCCACUGAUGUGUGUCCAGUUCCCGGAGGAACCUCCUGCCCUCCCUCAUCCUCAGCACAUCCCCGCCCCCUGCUCCCUUCCCAGUGGCUCCCUGGUCUGAUUUAAGUGGGCUUUCUGAUCAAAGAGAACAAAAUCUUAAGGGGAUUCUGCUCCUUGCACGUUGAUCUUUCCCCUAAAGCCCGUGAUUUCCAACAUUGGCUACACAUUGCAAUAACUUGGGGGAAGUUUUAAAAAUCCCAGUACUCAGGCCACUUCCCAGACCAAUUAAGUCACACCCUGGGGGUGGGGUCAGUGGUGAGUUGGGGAAAGUGUUAAACUGGCUCUUUAGGAAAAUAAAAGCAUGCAUAUAUGUACAGAAAUUUAUUCUAAAUUUUACUAAAGUAAAGGAUGUGUAGCCUACACCUUUCAAAUGAUAAUAAAAUAUAUAGUAUUCUUUAUUACAGGACACUCUAGC
This is a long non-coding RNA of Myotis brandtii (Brandt's bat), 1103 nucleotides long. RefSeq lists it as uncharacterized. The record is from RefSeq and is a predicted model, not a curated record. The transcript has 3 exons. NCBI's taxonomy places the organism in Eukaryota, Metazoa, Chordata, Mammalia, Chiroptera, Vespertilionidae.